UCCACAUUCACAUAUGGAUGAAACACACACUAAGCUUUCUAAAAUUGUUGGUAGAUGUCAAUAACAUGCAGAAGUCAUCUUGUCAACCAACUGAAACAUGUUGAAAUGUUGUCCCCACAGUAGAAGAGGCCGGCCGCCCGGGCAGCAGAUGGGAGAGAGCUUGCCCUGUGGACCCGGGUCCCCG
Molecule: long non-coding RNA, 184 nt
Organism: Odocoileus virginianus texanus
Lineage: Eukaryota; Metazoa; Chordata; Mammalia; Artiodactyla; Cervidae
Source: RefSeq, a predicted model, not a curated record